This 467-nucleotide ribosomal RNA is filed under the name uncultured bacterium. RNAcentral describes it as "partial 16S ribosomal RNA". It matches the Rfam family "Bacterial small subunit ribosomal RNA", at positions 28 to 506 of the family's 1533-position model. The record is from RNAcentral.
GACGAACGCUGGCGGCGUGCUUAACACAUGCAAGUCGAACGGAAAGGCCCUGCUUUUGUGGGGUGCUCGAGUGGCGAACGGGUGAGUAACACGUGAGUAACCUGCCCUUGACUUUGGGAUAACUUCAGGAAACUGGGGCUAAUACCGGAUAGGAGCUCCUGCUGCAUGGUGGGGGUUGGAAAGUUUCGGCGGUUGGGGAUGGACUCGCGGCUUAUCAGCUUGUUGGUGGGGUAGUGGCUUACCAAGGCUUUGACGGGUAGCCGGCCUGAGAGGGUGACCGGCCACAUUGGGACUGAGAUACGGCCCAGACUCCUACGGGAGGCAGCAGUGGGGAAUAUUGCACAAGGGGCGGAAGCCUGAUGCAGCAACGCCGCGUGCGGGAUGACGGCCUUCGGGUUGUAAACCGCUUUCGCCUGUGACGAAGCGUGAGUGACGGUAAUUGGUAAAGAAGCACCGGCUAACUACGU